This is a long non-coding RNA of Panicum virgatum (switchgrass), 803 nucleotides long. RefSeq lists it as uncharacterized. The transcript has 3 exons. The record is from RefSeq and is a predicted model, not a curated record. NCBI's taxonomy places the organism in Eukaryota, Viridiplantae, Streptophyta, Magnoliopsida, Poales, Poaceae.
CAUUCACUCAGCACCCCACCCACCUCUUCCACUCGCUCCUACCCUACCCGCGCCGCCGGCGCCUGCCACCCCACCGCCGCCCGCUCGUCGUCCGGUCGCCGCCGCCCGCUCGGCGUCUGCCCGCCGCCUCCCCCGCCUCCCUUCGUCUCCCGGAACCACCUCCGGCGCCCUCUUAUCCCCCGUGGAGACGACGCCCUUGGCCCUGACCGCCGCCUUGGCCUGCACCACCUCCGCCGCCCUUGGCCCUGACCACCGCCGCCGCCUUGGCCUGCAGCUCGAGUUCCACGGCAGAUGACUGACUGGGCUACCUACCACGACUGCAAGCCGAUUGCUUUGUUGGUUUGAAGCGACGACCCUUGCUGGAAGAGUUGGUUCGCGACUGAACUCGCUACUUUGGCAAUCGGCAUGGUCACAUGAGCAAAGCAUGACCAUGGUCCCAAAUCAUUUUGCUCAAGAAUUGGUAUGGAGAUACUGACACGCCGGCAAGAAUGAAUUUGUUUCGAACUCACAAGGCUUGAGCCAGUUCUGACUUCUUGACUUUGGUGAGCCUGAGAAAAAGGAAUAGCUGAAUCUGAUGGAAGUAACAAAAUAGGCAGUCUUACUAGCAGAAGAAGAAAUGUUGUAAACACCUUUCAGUAGUGAGCACAAUUCUGUCAUUUGGAGUACUAUCUUUGUACUGUCACAUUUUGUUGGGGAUUAAAUUCAGUAUAUAUGAUUUUUCUUUAUUCACUUCUGUACUUGAUGCCAGUUGUAUGACAGUCACUGUGGUUAAUAUAAACUUGUGAAACUAUUUUACAGUAGCA